GAUGAACGCUGGCGGCGUGCCUAAUACAUGCAAGUCGAGCGAACGGACGAGAAGCUUGCUUCUCUGAUGUUAGCGGCGGACGGGUGAGUAACACGUGGAUAACCUACCUAUAAGACUGGGAUAACUUCGGGAAACCGGAGCUAAUACCGGAUGAUAUUUUGAACCGCAUGGUUCAAAAGUGAAAGGCGGUCUUGCUGUCACUUAUAGAUGGAUCCGCGCUGCAUUAGCUAGUUUGUAAGGUAACGGCUUACCAAGGCAACGAUGCAUAGGCGAACUGGGAGGGUGAUCGGCCACACUGGAACUGAGACGCGGUCCAGACUCCUACGGGAGGCCGCAGUCGGGAAUCUUCCGCAAUGGGCGAAAGCCUGACGGAGCAACGCCGCGUGAGUGAUGAAGGUCUUCGGAUCGUAAAACUCUGUUAUUAGGGAAGAACAUAUGUGUAAGUAACUGUGCACAUAUUGACGGUACCUAAUCAGAAAGCCACGGCUAACUACGUG
This 497-nucleotide ribosomal RNA is filed under the name uncultured bacterium. RNAcentral describes it as "partial 16S ribosomal RNA". It matches the Rfam family "Bacterial small subunit ribosomal RNA", at positions 28 to 507 of the family's 1533-position model. The record is from RNAcentral.